RNAcentral lists this ribosomal RNA (497 nucleotides) under uncultured bacterium. RNAcentral describes it as "partial 16S ribosomal RNA". It matches the Rfam family "Bacterial small subunit ribosomal RNA", at positions 28 to 507 of the family's 1533-position model. The record is from RNAcentral.
GACGAACGCUGGCGGCGUGCCUAAUACAUGCAAGUUGAGCGAUGAAGAUUGGUGCUUGCCCCAAUUUGAAGAGCAGCGAACGGGUGAGUAACGCGUGGGGAAUCUGCCUUUGAGCGGGGGACAACAUUUGGAAACGAAUGCUAAUACCGCAUAAUAACUUUAAACAUAAGUUUUAAGUUUGAAAGAUGCAAUUGCAUCACUCAAAGAUGAUCCCGCGUUGUAUUAGCUAGUUGGUGAGGUAAAGGCUCACCAAGGCGAUGAUACAUAGCCGACCUGAGAGGGUGAUCGGCCACAUUGGGACUGAGACACGGCCCAAACUCCUACGGGAGGCAGCAGUAGGGGAUCUUCGGCAAUGGACGAAAGUCUGACCGAGCAACGCCGCGUGAGUGAAGAAGGUUUUCGGAUCGUAAAACUCUGUUGGUAGAGAAGAACGUUGGUGAGAGUGGAAAGCUCAUCAAGUGACGGUAACUACCCAGAAAGGGACGGCUAACUACGUG